Molecule: small nuclear RNA, 154 nt
Organism: Diabrotica virgifera virgifera (western corn rootworm)
Lineage: Eukaryota; Metazoa; Arthropoda; Insecta; Coleoptera; Chrysomelidae
Product: U4 spliceosomal RNA
Exons: 1
Source: RefSeq, a predicted model, not a curated record
AGCUUUGCGAAGUGGAGAUAUCGUAACCAAUGAGGAUUUUCCGAGGUGCGAUUAUUGCUAGUUGAGGAGAAGAAGUUAAGUGCAUUUUAAGAAUGUGAUGUCAUCCUGAGGAUGACAUCAGUAGAUGUCAUCCUCAAUGAAACCUUCUCAGAAG